AGUGAACGCUGGCGGCAUGCUUUACACAUGCAAGUCGAACGGCAGCGCGGGCUUCGGCCUGGCUGCGAGUGGCGAACGGGUGAGUAAUGCAUCGGAACGUUCCCAGUAGUGUGGGAUAGCCCGGCGAAAGCCGGAUUAAUACCGCAUACGACCUGAGGGUGAAAGCGUGGGACCGAAAGGCCUCGCGCUAUUGGAGCGGCCGAUGUCGGAUUAGCUAGUUGGUGGGGUAAAGGCUUACCAAGGCGACGAUCCGUAGCUGGUCUGAGAGGACGACCAGCCACACUGGGACUGAGACACGGCCCAGACUCCUACGGGAGGCAGCAGUGGGGAAUUUUGGACAAUGGGGGCAACCCUGAUCCAGCCAUGCCGCGUGCGGGAAGAAGGCCUUCGGGUUGUAAACCGCUUUUGUUCGGGAAGAAAUCCUCUGGGCUAAUACCCCGGGGGGAUGACGGUACCGGAAGAAUAAGCACCGGCUAACUACGUG
Molecule: ribosomal RNA, 484 nt
Filed under: uncultured bacterium
Lineage: Bacteria
Description: partial 16S ribosomal RNA
Rfam family: Bacterial small subunit ribosomal RNA
Source: RNAcentral